GACGAACGCUGGCGGCGCGCUUAACACAUGCAAGUCGAGCGAGAACCGGUCCUUCGGGACCGGGGAAAGCGGCGAACGGGUGAGUAACACGUGAGUAAUCCACCCUCGGCACCGGGAUAGCCCGGGGAAACCCGGAUUAAUACCGGAUGGCCCAGCAGCUCUUCGGGGCGGCUGGAAAAGGUAGCUUCGGCCUCCGGCCGAGGACGAGCUCGCGGCGGAUUAGCUUGUUGGUGGGGUAACGGCCCACCAAGGCGACGAUCCGUAGCUGGUCUGAGAGGACGAUCAGCCACACUGGGACUGAGACACGGCCCAGACUCCUACGGGAGGCAGCAGUGGGGAAUCUUGCGCAAUGGGCGACAGCCUGACGCAGCGACGCCGCGUGAGGGAAGAAGGCUUUCGGGUUGUAAACCUCUUUCAGGAGGGACGAAGCUACUCGGGUUAAUAGCCCAGAGGGUGACGGUACCUCCAGAAGAAGCCCCGGCUAACUACGUGC
This 493-nucleotide ribosomal RNA is filed under the name uncultured bacterium. RNAcentral describes it as "bacterial SSU rRNA". It matches the Rfam family "Bacterial small subunit ribosomal RNA", at positions 28 to 508 of the family's 1533-position model. The record is from RNAcentral.